This 497-nucleotide ribosomal RNA is filed under the name uncultured bacterium. RNAcentral describes it as "partial 16S ribosomal RNA". It matches the Rfam family "Bacterial small subunit ribosomal RNA", at positions 28 to 507 of the family's 1533-position model. The record is from RNAcentral.
GAUGAACGCUGGCGGCGUGCCUAAUACAUGCAAGUCGAGCGAACGGAUGAGAAGCUUGCUUCUCUGAUGUUAGCGGCGGACGGGUGAGUAACACGUGGAUAACCUACCUAUAAGACUGGGAUAACUUCGGGAAACCGGAGCUAAUACCGGAUAAUAUUUUGAACCGCAUGGUUCAAAAGUGAAAGACGGUCUUGCUGUCACUUAUAGAUGGAUCCGCGCUGCAUUAGCUAGUUGGUAAGGUAACGGCUUACCAAGGCAACGAUGCAUAGCCGACCUGAGAGGGUGAUCGGCCACACUGGAACUGAGACACGGUCCAGACUCCUACGGGAGGCAGCAGUAGGGAAUCUUCCGCAAUGGGCGAAAGCCUGACGGAGCAACGCCGCGUGAGUGAUGAAGGUCUUCGGAUCGUAAAACUCUGUUAUUAGGGAAGAACAUAUGUGUAAGUAACUGUGCACAUCUUGACGGUACCUAAUCAGAAAGCCACGGUUAACUACGUG